UGCAUACUCCCUCCGUCCGGAAAUACUUGUUAUCAAAAUGGAUAAAAAGGGAUGUAUUAACUAAAAUAUGUCUAGAUACAUCCACUUCUAUUCAUUUUGAUGAUAAGUAUUUCUGGACGGAGGGAGUACCUC
This is a non-coding RNA of Triticum aestivum (bread wheat), 132 nucleotides long. The record is from Rfam. Lineage: Eukaryota; Viridiplantae; Streptophyta; Magnoliopsida; Poales; Poaceae.